GCCUUCUCUUGAGCUCCUGUAAAUCUUCCUCAUGAUAGUACUUGGAUUCGCACAAGAAGUAGAGCCAGUGCAGUUAGAACAGGCCUGCCCACCUACGUGGGUGUUGCCUAUGUCUGCUGUGCAACAAUU
Molecule: small nucleolar RNA, 129 nt
Organism: Neolamprologus brichardi
Lineage: Eukaryota; Metazoa; Chordata; Actinopteri; Cichliformes; Cichlidae
Gene: SNORA75
Rfam family: Small nucleolar RNA SNORA75
About the family: U23 belongs to the H/ACA class of snoRNAs. snoRNAs bind a number of proteins (including dyskerin, Gar1p and Nop10p in the case of the H/ACA class) to form snoRNP complexes. This class are thought to guide the sites of modification of uridines to pseudouridines by forming direct base pairing interactions with substrate RNAs. Targets include ribosomal and spliceosomal RNAs as well as the Trypanosoma spliced leader RNA (SL RNA) as possibly other, still unknown cellular RNAs.
Source: Ensembl